Molecule: ribosomal RNA, 325 nt
Filed under: uncultured eukaryote
Lineage: Eukaryota
Description: partial 18S ribosomal RNA
Rfam family: Eukaryotic small subunit ribosomal RNA
Source: RNAcentral
CCCUUAGAUGUUCUGGGCUGCACGCGCGCUACACUGAUGCGCUCAACGAGUUUUAACCUUGCCUGGAAAGGUUGGGUAAUCUUUUUAAAACGCAUCGUGAUGGGGAUAGAUUAUUGCAAUUAUUAAUCUUCAACGAGGAAUUCCUAGUAAGCGCGAGUCAUCAGCUCGUGCUGAUUACAUCCCUGCCCUUUGUACACACCGCCCGUCGCUCCUACCGAUUGAGUGAUCCGGUGAUUAAUUCGGACUGCGGCAUUGACCGGUUCCCGAUCGUUGCUGCGGAAAGUUUAGUGAACCUUAUCACUUAGAGGAAGGAGAAGUCGUAACA